GUUUAUAUAAUUUAAUUAAAAUACUAGAUUGUGAUUCUAAAAACGAAAGUUUAACCCUUUCCAUAAACC
This 69-nucleotide transfer RNA is filed under the name Karsenia koreana (Korean crevice salamander). Its description in RNAcentral is "tRNA-His". It matches the Rfam family "tRNA". Rfam says of the family: Transfer RNA (tRNA) molecules are approximately 80 nucleotides in length. Their secondary structure includes four short double-helical elements and three loops (D, anti-codon, and T loops). Further hydrogen bonds mediate the characteristic L-shaped molecular structure. tRNAs have two regions of fundamental functional importance: the anti-codon, which is responsible for specific mRNA codon recognition, and the 3' end, to which the tRNAs corresponding amino acid is attached (by aminoacyl-tRNA synthetases). tRNAs cope with the degeneracy of the genetic code in two manners: having more than one tRNA (with a specific anti-codon) for a particular amino acid; and 'wobble' base-pairing, i.e. permitting non-standard base-pairing at the 3rd anti-codon position. Lineage: Eukaryota; Metazoa; Chordata; Amphibia; Caudata; Plethodontidae. The record is from RNAcentral.